UAACUUCUCUCUCUUUUAUAUAAAAACUGUUUUUUUCACUCUUAUCUUUUGUCUCCUUUUCUUUUUCUUUUGUAUCGUUCUCUCUUUUUUUAUCACUCAUUUUUUUGCUUUUCUUUUUUUCUACACUCUUUUCUUUAUCUUUUUAAUUUUUCUGCUCUCGCUCACUUUCUUGUGAUUUUUCGAUGGAACUCCUCAUUUUAAGCUGAUCAUCAUAGACUUGCUUGGGUGUUAGCGGAGCUAACGUCACCGUUCGUCCAGAAUGUUUGAAGGUGUACCUAUUGGUGUACUCAUCGUGAAUUGCACACUUGUCAGGGCCAUCCAAGAAGGAGAUGCCCCGCAUGCAUUGGUACCACAUCACACAACACCUCAUCUUGG
This 375-nucleotide long non-coding RNA is filed under the name Gossypium raimondii (Peruvian cotton). Its description in RNAcentral is "long non-coding RNA (GRAI_LNC008390)". Lineage: Eukaryota; Viridiplantae; Streptophyta; Magnoliopsida; Malvales; Malvaceae. The record is from RNAcentral.